UACGGAGGGUGCAAGCGUUAAUCGGAAUUACUGGGCGUAAAGCGCACGCAGGUGGUCAAUUAAGUCCGAUGUGAAAGCCCCGGGCUUAACUUGGGAAUUGCAUCUGAAACUGGUUGGCUAGAGUCUUGUAGAGGGGGGUAGAAUUCCAUGUGUAGCGGUGAAAUGCGUAGAGAUGUGGAGGAAUACCGGUGGCGAAGGCGAUUUUCUGGACAUAAACUGACGCUGAGGUACGAAAGCGCGGGGAGCGAACAGG
RNAcentral lists this ribosomal RNA (253 nucleotides) under uncultured bacterium. RNAcentral's name for it is "partial 16S ribosomal RNA". It matches the Rfam family "Bacterial small subunit ribosomal RNA", at positions 524 to 776 of the family's 1533-position model. The record is from RNAcentral.